GCUCGUUCUACUCUCCCCCUUAACAGCUCUGUCACAGCAGCCUGUCUGUAAGUGGAGCUGUCAGUGAGAUGGAGGUGGCCUGAAGAGGCUUUACUGAAGGGUGAAGACUUGAUUUUAUUUGGUAUGAUGAAGUAAAGCUGAGCGUGUAAAGAAAAGAACAUUCACAUUGCAAAAAUACUUUAAUGUAUGAUAGCCAUCUUCAGCCUACAAGGAUCUGUCCUCACCGUUGUGUCUGUGGCAUCGCUCAGUGUUUUCUCCGCUUUCUGCCUGUGGUGCAGGAGGAAAACCAAACAGCCUCAAUUCGUCGGGGUAUGGAAAUCGUUCCACAGGGAUGCUGGCCCAUGUUGACUCCAAUGCUGGCUGGAUGUCCUUUGGGUGGUGGACUGCUCUUGAUACACACGGGAAACUGUUGAGUGUGAAAAACCCAGCAAAGUUGCAGUUCUUGACACACUCAAACCGGUGUGCCUGGCACCUACUACCAUACCCCGUUUCAAGGCACUUCAAUAGUUUGUCUUGCCCAUUCACCCUCUGAAUGGCACACAUUAACAAUACAUGUUUCAAUUGUCUCAAGGCGUAAAAAUCCUUAUUUGACUUGUCUCCUCCCCUUCACACAUUUGAAAUGGAUUUAACAAGUGACAUCAAUAAGGGAUCAUAGCUUUCACCUGGUCAUGUCAUGGAAAGAGCAGGUGUUCCUAAUGUUUUGUACACUCAGUGUAAGUGCCAUUAAAUACAAUUAUCACCCAUUUCUGUAGAAAUAAUACAUGAAGAGAAUCAAAUGUAUGACCCUCAAAUAUUGUAAGUAUAACAUAAACAUAGAUAUGAAAUAAUUGAUGCACUGUAGGACCGAUUGUGAUCUUAUGGAUAUGGAUAUGGUGAAUAUUACAUAGAUUAAUAGAAAAAUGAGUGUAUGUAUUUUCUAAUGUGAAAUUCAUAAAGUAGGAAUUUUCUAUCAUUCAUAAAAGAGUUGUUUCUAUUCUAACAUUACAGUUUAAUUGCAUGUUGUAAAACAAUUUAACCUCAUUAUUGGCUAAUAUAUUACAAUAUGAUUUUAGCUUACAUAACUCUGCCCACUCCACAGCAAAGGUAGAAGAUUUGCAGUUAUGCGAUCUCAAACAGGUAAACUGGCAUUGUGAUUCAUCAUACCAUUUGGGGCAGUUUCACAAGCAGGACCAGUCUUAUUUUACUUAAAUUAAUCCAGAUUAAUAAUGGAUUUUACCGAUUGUGAUAUCUCUUUUCACAUUGAAUGAUUGAAUGAAUCUAAUUAAUAUGCUAUGGCUAUCUUGUGCUGAUCAACAGUAAAUUAUAUGUUCUCACCACUGAA
Long non-coding RNA from Oncorhynchus nerka (sockeye salmon), 1321 nucleotides. RefSeq lists it as uncharacterized. The transcript is spliced from 4 exons. NCBI's taxonomy places the organism in Eukaryota, Metazoa, Chordata, Actinopteri, Salmoniformes, Salmonidae. The record is from RefSeq and is a predicted model, not a curated record.